Long non-coding RNA from Apis laboriosa (Himalayan honeybee), 6089 nucleotides. RefSeq lists it as uncharacterized. The record is from RefSeq and is a predicted model, not a curated record. NCBI's taxonomy places the organism in Eukaryota, Metazoa, Arthropoda, Insecta, Hymenoptera, Apidae. The transcript is spliced from 8 exons.
UUGUAUGCGACUAAUUUCGAAACUCUGGCAAACGUGAAACGUGUAUGGGGAACAGUGGGAAGAAUAGAAAGUACAAGUGAAUUAUUUCUCGAUGUAAUAUGGCCACAGAUGUGAACGAUAAUAUCGAAUCAGCGUGCAACUCGCUUCUUACAACAGUUGCAAACGGAUCACAAUUUAUCGAAGCAAACUACUGGCGACAUUACGUCAUUCCGACAAAGAAAAAUAAAUUAAUCGAAUAAAUUACUUCGCAUCGUAAAUAUCUUAUGAUUGUGUACAACUAUUCAUUAACUAUAUUUUGGUGGGUCCAAAGAGAUCUGUUUCGGCAAAUAAAUUGACACAAAUGACUUCAAUGGGUUUCUAUUGUUUUCGGCGAAUGAAAGGUUAAGACGAAAAGGCAGAUUCGCGACGUUCUGAGCUCGAGGGCAGCGUGGAUGGAUGCGAAGAAACCCCCAUUAAGUUGUUACGCCGACUUAUCCUCCUGCACGUCGAUUAAUCGCCGACUCAGUUCGGUGCAACGACAUUUCGCCUUCCUCAUAGGAAGGCGUCUUUCGCCGCUCUUUUCGUUUUUUCCGCACGAAAUUCCGCCUCAAGCUUGUAGACGAGAAGCGCCACUCGAAAAGGACGUUCGAUACGAGGAAGAGGUUAGGUCCUCGCCCGCGGACCCCUCUCGACCGUUCUCGUGAUAGCUGUGAGGGCCGUUUAUUAAGGAAAGAUUUACUCGUUGAGCCGUCUCUGGACCGAUUUCUGCAGGUUUUUGACCGCUCUAGGAAUUCAUCCUCCGCGCGGAUGAACGUUACACUUCAUGGUUUCAUGGCCCAUUCCACGCCUUCCAGAAUUUUGUCCCUCGAGGAAAGGGUUCAUUUCGAAAGAAUUCUUUUCCUGCGUCUCUAACUUCUUUGAAAAUGAAGCUUAUAAUUUGCAAAACUCGAAUAUUUUUAUUCUACAAUGAAGAAUGGAUUAAACACAAUAAUGGAUUGAGCACAACGUUGAAAAUAAAUAAUAUAUCCGCUUCGUAACUUUCAAUCAUCCCAAAACUACGCUGAAACGAAAUAUAAAUACGACAAAAGUGAAAUGAAUAAUAUUUACUUGUCUUGAAAAAAUUACGUAAACUUAUCGAUAUUUCUUAUCGAUGCGGCGAUCACGUAACAUACACGAAAUACAAUACGACUUGUGAAUAUGAUUCCAAACUGUGGCAAUCAGAGCUUGGUGUUCCCGAUGUUCAUCUCAACAAUGGAAGCCCAUCGUCACUUUUGAGAGACAUCCGGCAGCCUCUUUGGUCGCCUCUUUUUUCUUUUCGGAAUCGGCUCACCGCUGCGAGAAUCCUCUUCUACGAAUCGCGUUUGGCCAAUCCAAAAGAGACUGUACGGUCGUGCAGUCUCGUGCUCCUUUUAUUUUACGGCGCUGUGUGCAAAUUGGCCAGAGGAUUAGAAUCGCGAGCAUAGGCUGCGUGCUGCGUGCCCCGGAGCGAUGAAUUAUUAUUGUCUCGUGCCACACGCAGCCACGCUUCGCGUUUUAUGCACCCGUAUAUACACGUAUACGAGCAUCCUCGAAACCGAAAUAGAUCGAGGUCUCGAUGGUUGAAUUAUCCUUCUGCCUUCAUUGUCCUUUCAACCCGGCUAUGUAACUACGUACGUUUCAAAGUUCUCGAUAUCUUGAUCUUCGCUUCCAACGUUCGCCUCCCACAACAUCACUGAACACGUGCAUAUUCAGCUUGCACACACUUCCCACCGAAUUACCUUCAUGGAGCAAGAUUGUCCAGUGGAAAGCGAGACGGGACAAUGGAAAGGAACGCGGUUAGAAAUAGUUUUGGAUCGAGCAGAGAGAGAGAGAGAGAAUUUUUGCGUCGCUCGUCGAGGAGGAAUGUCGGUUUCGAGGUGGAGGAGGCACGCCACGAGUUAUUGACUCGUUUGAUCCUGGGUUACGCCCCGACCUACCUUAACUCUGACUUACUAUCUUGCCACGAGAGGUUUCGGCCCACGACGCAACGCCGCCGAUUUCCGUUUCGAUUCGAGGAACAUCGUUCACCUCGUUUCUUUCCGUCUCUCGGAUAAUGAAUAGCGAAUAAUGAAAAUCCUUUCCUCCGAUUGGAGGAGGAAUAAGAUGGAAAUUGUUUCUGUCGUCAUUUCAUUGAAAAGAAUUCGCGCUACUUUUGUAUUACUGAGGAAUUUCAGGGUUUAGUUAUAAACCCUAGAGUUCUUAUAAAACCCAAAAUGUAUGAUGGAGUUAAAAUUUUUUGGAAUGCAGAAAUGAAAUGUAAAGCAAUCUUUGAGCAAUCUAUUUCCAUCGUAAUCUCUUGAAACGAAUGAAGAGGUGAAGCAAAAUUUACAAAUAUAUAUGGUGUCAACAUUAACAUUAACAAUUAUUUAUAUAAGAUACCGCAUGAAUUAGCAUCUCCAAUGUAUCCAGCAUUAAAAUUAUUUUCUCUUUUAGGUACAUUUCACUUUGAACGGAUUUCGAAUAUUUUUUCUUCGUCGAAUCUACGUUUUGCAGAAAGUUGAAAUUCGCUUCUUUUUCAUUAUUCGUGCAAGAAGCGACAGUUUGACUCGAUGCCAAUAAAGAAAAACUAAUACAAUUAUCGCUGGGAUGCACAAGAAUCGAGUGAAUAUGUGAAACAAAUAUCUUUACAACUUACAUAUCUCGAUUAUCUUUAAACUCAUAGUUCAUUUUCUUAUUUUUUAUUUCUUGCUGAAAAUCGUCUUUUCAUUGAAUUCCAUAUUUUUCAGGGUCCAAGUUAGAUGGUUCAUCCAAGAGAAUCCCUCAAUUGAAGGAAAAGCACAAUUUUAUCCCAGUCUACGAAUAAUCGCGCUAAUUUCAACGUGGAAGAUAUUUCUUCUUCUCCCUGCGCUGGAAGCACGAAGUUCCACGCGUCGAAUCGCCGAUCUCCUCCAGAAACGCCAUUGCAAUCGUACUCCAAGAAUCGAUCGAUUGAAUCGGAUUCGCUCAUAGAAUUGGAAUUCCACGUUUCUCCAAAUCAUAUUACAUUCAACAAGUUGACCAACUAUCGAUAUUCGAUAGCAUAACACGUCAAUUUUCUUCCAUCGAUGCCUGUAAACGAAAUGCAACACCGGAAAAAUUUAAUAUCGGAAGUUACGAAUAAAGUUACUUCGAUAAUUUAUCGUUCAAAAUAUAAUAAUAAUCACAAUAAUAAUAAUAGUAGGUCAAUCAUAAUAACUACGAACAAAUAGUUAUUAUAUAUAGAGCUUACUUUAAUAAGUAAUUACUAACUUGAAGUAACUUUAUUCGAAAUUUUUAAUUUUUUCAACUACGGGUUAAUAAUGCCCAAUUCUGGCGAAAAAUCGUGGAGCGUGGAGAGACUUGCCUCUAGGUGGAGGUGGCACACCUGCCCUCGAACGUGGAGAAGAGGAGAGAGAGGAGAGUCGCGCACGUAUGUUGGAAGAUGCGCCGACAGACACGCCCUGAUUAAACGGUGAUGAAUGCGCGAAAAAAGGGGGGAGGGGAUCGAAAGAUCGGUGGCAAAUCGACGCUUGUCCCCUUUUCCAUCUCGAAUCCGCCGCCGGGAAUGCAAAUGAUGUAUCCGUCUCUAGGAGGGUAUCCAAGCCUCCCCCGUAAAACACCGUGACUUAUCAUGCUUAAUUACACGGUCUACCGUUGAAUUAUCGCCGUUUUACGAUAUUAAAGAGGCGGCAAUUAGCCGCGUUCGAUGCCGUUUUCGUUUCCUUCCUUCGGGGUCUAGAUCCUUUCUUCCAUCCAAUCAAGAAUACGUCUGUGUUCGCGACGCCUGUAUAAUAUAUGUAACGCGGAAUAUAAAGCAGCAGGGCGUACCCUUUUUGAAAAUAACACGUUCCUUCGAGAGAUAGAGAUAGGCUAGGUUUCUAUGUGAAAUUGUUUAUCGGGUAAUCUGGUGCGCUACCCUACAGGUAUCGAAGAGUGUAGGUUCCUCGCGAGAGAAAUAUCGGUAUAGAUAUCACCUAUUACCGCAAUUAUACCUCGUAUUUCAUUUACCACGAUUCUUUCGAUAUCUAAAAAAAAAUAAAAAAAAAAAAAAAAAAAAAAAAAAAAAAAAAAAAAAAAAAAAAAAAAAAAAAGAAAAAGGAACGUAUUCUUUUUUCAACGGUCCAAUCACAUGAGAGAAUGGAUUAAUUGUUCCGUUGAAAUUUCCAUCGAUGGAAAUGGCGAAUAACGCACGCUUGUUUACUUAAAAAAAUCGGCCGUAUCAUUUUUCUCAUUGCGCGUUGUCGGCUCAUUUUUUCGAGCGGUGGCGCUCGAAGCCGAAAAGGGGUGGAAGAUACAUAGCGCGAUGCCCUGAGCGGACGCCGACCCAUUUCUCUUUCGCGCCUCUUUCUCUCUCGUUAACGCGACUCUAUCGCCGUUUCAUCCACGGUGCGCGUUUAAACGCCCCCGGUCCCGUCAACCUGAUUUCACUAACGAACCCGCCAAUUUAUAUUAUCGAUCGGAUCGUGUGUCCGCAGUAGGCCAACUUGACCAAGGAUUCAUCGUUAAACCGGUACCCGGCAGCAACGCUGCACCCUUAUCGUUUGCAUCCGCCAUCCUAUUGCCAGUGGCCGUUUUUUUUUUUUUUUUUUGUUUUCAAACCGUUCUCUCCAACUUUCCAUCUCUUCGAAUCUCUUCUAUCGAACGAUAACCGGUCCUUCCACCUACUCUAUAUAUAUAUAUAAUCAUUCACGAAUUGAGAAUGUUUCGAAAGAAUAGAAAUAAAGCUGGAUCGAAAGGACAUUUUGUUUCAAUCGUUAACACGUUCAACCUUGGAAUACGCGAAGGAAUUUCAAGUGCACGUCGAUCGUGGCGAAUACGUUGCUAUGAACCGUGAAAUGGAGGGACGAUUUGCGGCUUGAUGUCUUUCUCUGCAUGGUGAAUGUCCGCGAUAGAGGAGAUAGAAGAUAGAAGGGAGAGGCGCACGAACGCUUGGCUAUUUUAAUUAUCGAUGCGCGAUCGAGACAGCACAGGUCGUACGUUGGUGCUCGAUGCGCGAUACAGAUCGAUUGUAAACCUUCGUAGUCUCGAUCCAUUAUUAUACGGCUCAUCGUUUAAUAUAAUUUUCGAUCUCUCGUUGCGAUACGAUAUCUGGUCGAUAUCAAAAUUCGCGUAUAAAAAAUCAUAUAAAAAUUUCAUAAUUCGUAUAUUUUGUCGAUUUCGAAAGCGUGUGGCUUCCGUGUUGUAUUCGAUGUUGUAUCCUUAGAAUUAACGAUCUGUUCGUAUUAUCCUCCGUCCUCUCUGUUCGGUGAACGGUUACGCGGUGACAGUGCAAAAACGUACGGUCAAUGGAAUCGGACGUGGAUGACGCGCCAAACAGAGAUGUACGCUCAACGCCACUCCAUCGAAUUAUAGCAGCGUUGGUAUAUAGCGGUGGACACUGCUCGCCCCGUCCUCCAACCGUUAAAUCGAUUAAUCCGACGAGGAAUGCGCGAAUCAUCAAUGCCACGGCUGUGCAACGCACUUCUUCUUCCCGAUUCUAUGCCGAUUCUCUUCUGCUCCGCCAAAGAUUGCUCGCGUUGUCUCCUACCUAACCGUUAUUGUGCUAGGGACUUUUCGAGAAAGGUGGUAUUAGCGGUCGCGCGUAAUUGUGCAGUCAAGCGAGACAUGCUUCCACGCAUCCAUUGUCAGCGAGUGAUUUUGCUUCGUUCAAAGGGAUUGGACAAUUUUUUAUUUAGGUUUUAUUAAGUGGUAUGAAUGAGUUGAGAAUUUUUAUCUUAAUCUCAAACUUUACGAAAGGAGAAUGGUUUGUACUUUUUACGAGUUGGAGAUAUUGAACGAUGUAAAAUCAAAGAGAUAAACGAUGACGAGAAAUUGUUUGUUCGAGAGAUUCAUCGGAAGUGUAACAUUUCGAGAUUUCUCUUUACGAAGCGUUCACUCGUGAAGUCAUUGUGCCCGUAUCGCUCGAUGAAAUUUAGGCAUUGAAUUGCUUUUGAACGAUGCAAGAGAGCAUCGACGUGUCUCGACGAGCAGCGCAUAAUACCGAAGUUGACGCGUAGCAAACGAGAUCGAGGAAAUAGCAAAGUCAUGUAGACAUCAAGAAACCCGGACCUGUCCUACUGUUCUGCGUUACGGAGGUCCGGUGUAUAUAAAGCGAUUUACGUGAGAAUGUUUGCACUCCUUUAUUCGAAUUAUUC